Molecule: long non-coding RNA, 1858 nt
Organism: Pongo pygmaeus (Bornean orangutan)
Lineage: Eukaryota; Metazoa; Chordata; Mammalia; Primates; Hominidae
Exons: 5
Source: RefSeq, a predicted model, not a curated record
AUGAUGAAACAGAAAGAGACAUCUGCUUGGCUACAUGAGGAGCCUGCCCUUGGAGAGCCGCCUGGAGGUGAAAAUGGAAGGGGAAUUCACCACUUGCGUUCUGCCCAUACCCCACAUCUCUCUGGAGAACUCAACGGCGAUAUGAGACUCCGUCACUAACAGAACUCCAGUCACAAAUGUUCCACCAUUUCCACUUGACUCUGGCUCUGAGAAAAUCUUCAAAAACCAGCUUACAAAAUAUUAGCACAGUCAUGACUCAGAUAACACGCCUGGCCCUGGGUGGAUGGACACCAGGAGAGACGCAGGACAGUAGCAUGAAAAUGGACCCAGAAUGUAUCUGGGGAAGACUGCUGACUCAGCGGAGUGGCAGCAGCGGGAAAUGCCACCAAAGAGGCGAGACGCAGAUGAACUAGACCAGCAAGAGGAGUCUAGCUCACAUGGAUCUGUAGACAAUACGUACAAAUAAACUGACUUUUCAAACAGCCAUUGGCUGGUUUCCUCCCAUUUGCUUGUGUUCACGUAAAAUCAAAGUAAGAGAAAAUACACCUACCACCAAAUCUGGAUUCCCAAGCCUAGACGGAUAUCAAACUGACUCUGCGAGUAAGAGUCCACAUACCCCUCUUCAUGGCAGCUCAUGCAUGAAAAUGUGGGCAUUGGGAGAGAGAGAUGGAGGCCAUUUGUAACACCGGUAUUUCCUAAAGUGCCAACUAAACAAAGGGAAGUUCAGCAGCUUGUAAAGGAGGAAGAGUGCAAGCUCUGGAGUGGAUCUGUUUUCAAGCCCUAGCUCAGCUGUAGCGAAUCUUGUCAGUCGCGAGAGCACCUCCUGCAGACCAGUCACACCUCCAGUUUUCGGAGAGAUAUCUAAGCAUCUUGGAGUCAUUUCGUAUGAAUCCAGCUUCCCAAAUGCUGGAUUCCCAACCAAUCAUUGAAUGAGAAAACCUCAUGGGUACUGGCAGAAUCUUUGCUCAAUUCGGUUCUUGGUUCUCGCCUGAGAGGUAUUGGAGCAGAAGGGUCAGGGCCGGUAGGCGCAGGCACGCUGCUUGCUCUGCUAUGAGAUGUGUACCCGGGUAAGUUCCCUCAGCUCUUUAUGUCUCAGAUUCUUCUUUCAUAAAAGGGGGCCCCAAAGAGUAGCGAUCUUGUGGGGCAGAUGUUGAGGACUUGAACCAUGGCACUGGUGAAAGCGCCCAGGGCAGGGUGUGGCACCUAGAGAGUUCCCUGAGCUUCACACCCCUUAUCAUCCAUCUCCUCCCUUUAUUUCCAAUAACUGAAUGCUAACCUGAAAUCAUGAACAGUAAAAGCAGAUGGCCAAUUAAGGUCUUGAGGAAAGUUGUGCAACCAGAGAAUGAACAUAUUUCUUCAUGAUAUUCCCAGAGGAAGGUUGCAUUUAUACCCUGAAUUAGGAAGAUUCCACGUGUGUUCUACUGACCCUGCCAUGCUACUGCUAUGGUGUGUGCAGCUGAAAAUUACUCUGUCAAUGAUUGCCAGGUUAAAGACAAGAAAGAGGGUCAGUUAUAACUGGACUUUGCCUAGGGUGCAAUUUCUUAGUUUGCUUAUUUUUUUUUACAUACUUCUUAUCCAAUUUGUAGGCUAAUUUUUUCUUCCCUUGGAUUGUGAUUUUAGACCAUUUGAAUAAUUUUAAUAAAUAUAAAUAACAGUAACAGUAUCUCUACCAUAAAGCAAAAUAAGACAAAAAAUAAUAUGUUUAGGAUUAAGAUUUAAAGUCACUGGUGAGAAAAAUGCUGGUUGAAAUAAUUUAGAAACAUAUUUAAGUUUAAUUAUACAAGUUAUAAUUAUUUCCAGUUAUUUACCUAAUUGAUGGUCCUGAUUAGAAAUACAUCAAUAAAUCAAAUAUUUAUUC